Molecule: ribosomal RNA, 254 nt
Filed under: uncultured bacterium
Lineage: Bacteria
Description: partial 16S ribosomal RNA
Rfam family: Bacterial small subunit ribosomal RNA
Source: RNAcentral
UACGUAGGGUGCGAGCGUUAAUCGGAAUUACUGGGCGUAAAGCGUGCGCAGGCGGUUUUGUAAGCCGGGUGUGAAACCUCCAGGCUCAACCUGGAGUCGCCAUCCGAUACUGCUAUGGCUAGAGUCCGGUAGGGGCCCACGGAAUUCCUGGUGUAGCGGUGAAAUGCGCAGAUAUCAGGAGGAACACCGGUGGCGAAGGCGGGUCUCUGGGCCGCUACUGACGCUGAGGAGCGAAAGCGUGGGGAGCGAACAGG